Mandrillus leucophaeus (drill) is the source of this 680-nucleotide long non-coding RNA. RefSeq lists it as uncharacterized. The record is from RefSeq and is a predicted model, not a curated record. The transcript is spliced from 3 exons. NCBI's taxonomy places the organism in Eukaryota, Metazoa, Chordata, Mammalia, Primates, Cercopithecidae.
UUACAGCUCUAACAUACCAUCUAAGGCUGUUCUUUCUUGUAACUUAACAUGUUUUGUUGGAUCUGAAGACAUAGUAAAGGACGUGGAAGCCUGGAAAGAUGUAACCAGUGGAAAUACUAACAUUCACCAGCUUCCAGGGGAUCACUUUUAUCUUCUGGAUCCUGCCAACGAGAAAUUAAUCAAGAACUACAUAGUCAAGUGUCUAGAAGUAUCAUCACUUGCCAAUUUUUAGAUAUUUUUCCUUUCACUUUUAAAAUAAUCAAAGUAAUAUGAUACUCUUUUCAGUUAUUCAGCUGUAGCUCAGUUUUAUUCAGAUUGGAAAUUACACAUUUUCUACUGUCAGGGAGAUUCGUUACAUAAAUAUAUUGAGGUAUCUGGGGACAAAGGUCAAGCCAGUAAAGAAUACUUCUGGCAGCACUUGGGGAGGCCAAGGCGGGUGGAUCACAAGGUCAGGAGAUCAAGACCAUCCUGGCUAACAUGGUGAAACCCAAUCUGUACAAAAAUUACAAAAAAUUAGCCAGGCAUGGUGGCGGGUGCCUGUAAUCUCACCUACUCAGGAGGCUGAGGCAGGAGAAUGGCGUGAACCCGGGAGGCGGAGCUUGCAGUGACCUGAGAUGACACCACUGCAAUCCAACCUGGGCGACAGAGCAAGACUCCAUCUCAAAAAAAAAAAAAAAAAA